RNAcentral lists this ribosomal RNA (257 nucleotides) under Lycosa munieri. RNAcentral describes it as "partial 12S ribosomal RNA". The record is from RNAcentral. Lineage: Eukaryota; Metazoa; Arthropoda; Arachnida; Araneae; Lycosidae.
AACCUGUUUUUUAAUCGACAAUCCNCGUUAAUUUUCACUUAAAUUAAAAAUUUAUAUACCGCCAUCUAAAAAACUAAUUUUAUAAUAAUAUUUUCAAUAAAAAAUAAAAAGUUAGGUCAAGGUGUAAUCAACAUUUAAGUUAAAUAUGGGUUACUUUAAAAAAAAUUUAAGGAUUUUUUUAUAAAAAUAUUUCUUAAAAAAGGAUUUAAAAGUAAUAUUAAAAUAAUAUUUUACUAUGAUAAAGAUAAUAAAUGUGC